ACUCCUACGGGAGGCAGCAGUGGGGAAUUUUGGACAAUGGGCGAAAGGCUGAUCCAGCAAUGCCGCGUGAGUGAAGAAGGCCUUCGGGUUGUAAAGCUCUUUUGUCAGGGAAGAAACGGUGAGAGCUAAUAUCUUUUGCUAAUGACGGUACCUGAAGAAUAAGCACCGGCUAACUACGUGCCAGCAGCCGCGGUAAUACGUAGGGUGCAAGCGUUAAUCGGAAAUACUGGGCGUAAAGCGAGCGCAGGCGGUUUUGUAAGUCUGAUGUGAAAUCCCCGGGCUCAACCUGGGAAUUGCAUUGGAGACUGCAAGGCUAGAAUCUGGCAGAGGGGGGUAGAAUUCCACGUGUAGCAGUGAAAUGCGUAGAUAUGUGGAGGAACACCGAUGGCGAAGGCAGCCGCCUGGGUCAAGAUUGACGCUCAUGCACGAAAGCGUGGGGAGCAAACAGGAUUAGAUACCCUGGUAGUCCACGCCCUAAACGAUGCCUACUAGUUGUCGGGUCUUAAUUGACUUGGUAACGCAGCUAACGCGUGAAGUAGACCGCCUGGGGAGUACGGUCGCAAGAUUAAAACUCAAAGGAAUUGACGGGGACCCCCACAAGCGGUGGAGCAUGUGG
This 616-nucleotide ribosomal RNA is filed under the name uncultured bacterium. RNAcentral describes it as "bacterial SSU rRNA". It matches the Rfam family "Bacterial small subunit ribosomal RNA", at positions 335 to 944 of the family's 1533-position model. The record is from RNAcentral.